Molecule: long non-coding RNA, 327 nt
Organism: Patella vulgata (common limpet)
Lineage: Eukaryota; Metazoa; Mollusca; Gastropoda; Patellidae
Exons: 3
Source: RefSeq, a predicted model, not a curated record
AUUAAAUACAGCAACAAUGCUAACAGAUUAUAUAUCAUUUAUAGGCAAUCAACCUGGAAGUUUCUACAGUAAUGUAGAUCAAUAUAUGCCGCCUGGAGCUUGUAGCAGUAAACCUUGUGACCAGUAUUCGGUAUGUGUGGAAUCACCACCUGGUCCACCUGGAUAUGUUUGCAACGUAGCAUAUUGCCCAACACCUACUACCAACGUCUAUGUUCAUGUUACGCCGGAAUAUGACCAAUCGGUCACUUUAUGGCCUGUUGGAACCAAUCUAAACUUUCAAUGCUGGACUUCUUACUAUCGUUCAAGUAACUGGACAUGUUUAAACAA